ACGGAGGAUGCGAGCGUUAUCCGGAUUUAUUGGGUUUAAAGGGUGCGUAGGCGGAUUAAUAAGUCAGUGGUGAAAUACUGCAGCUUAACUGUAGAAUUGCCGUUGAUACUGUUAGUCUUGAGUAUGGUCAAGGUAGGCGGAAUGUGUAAUGUAGCGGUGAAAUGCUUAGAUAUGACACAGAACACCGAUUGCGAAGGCAGCUUACUGGGCCAUUACUGACGCUCAUGCACGAAAGCGUGGGGAUCAAACAG
RNAcentral lists this ribosomal RNA (251 nucleotides) under uncultured prokaryote. RNAcentral's name for it is "partial 16S rRNA". It matches the Rfam family "Bacterial small subunit ribosomal RNA", at positions 525 to 775 of the family's 1533-position model. The record is from RNAcentral.